GAUGGGAACGCGAGCAGUUUUUGCACUGGGACAGCCAUAGGGAGUUGGGCUGCUUUUAAAAUCCCGGGUUCACUACCGGAGAUGUUUGAAUCUGCUCAGGAGCUUAAGACAGAAGGAUGCCAAAUCCAAGGAUAACCUGGGCAAAAGCUGCCUGCUGAUCCAGAUGUAAAUAUUUCUCCUCCAGCACCAUGUCUCCCUGAGUGCUGCCAAGCUUUCAGUAACGACAAUAGUCAAUGAUACCCCUGAAACUACAGAUCAAGAACCAAUUGGAGAACAACACUUUAGCAUCAGAACCACCCCCUCCAUCUAACAAUGUAUUUCAAAGUUGGAGAAAAGCAAGGAGAAUUCAAACCAAUAAUCAAAUAAUUAGUUAAUUCAAUCAGGUUAGAAUUCAUGAACUGGAGACUUGAAAACCAGUCUACAGAAUUAACCAAAUAGUUCAGUGGUUCUCAACUUUCCUAAUACUUCAAAAAUCGAUGGCCAUAUCCCUGAAUGAAAGCAUUUCUGGCAAUAAAGAUAAAUGAAUGACUGCU
Molecule: long non-coding RNA, 533 nt
Filed under: Mus caroli (Ryukyu mouse)
Lineage: Eukaryota; Metazoa; Chordata; Mammalia; Rodentia; Muridae
Description: lncRNA (MGP_CAROLIEiJ_G0004973.1)
Source: RNAcentral